AUCAACGCUGGCGGCGUGCCUAACACAUGCAAGUCGAGCGAGAAAGGGUAGCAAUACCUGAGUAAAGCGGCGCACGGGUGAGUAACACGUGACUAACCUACCCAGGAGUGGGGAAUAACUUCGGGAAACCGAGGCUAAUACCGCAUAACACCUACGGGUCAAAGGAGCAAUUCGCUUCUGGAGGGGGUCGCGGCCGAUUAGUUAGUUGGCGGGGUAAUGGCCCACCAAGACGAUGAUCGGUAUCCGGCCUGAGAGGGCGCACGGACACACUGGAACUGAAACACGGUCCAGACUCCUACGGGAGGCAGCAGUGGGGAAUUUUGCGCAAUGGGGGAAACCCUGACGCAGCAACGCCGCGUGGAGGAUGAAGUCCUUCGGGACGUAAACUCCUUUCGAUCGGGACGAUUAUGACGGUACCGGAAGAAGAAGCCCCGGCUAACUUCGUGCCAGCAGCCGCGGUAAUACGAGGGGGGCGAGCGUUGUUCGGAAUUAUUGGGCGUAAAGGGUGCGUAGGCGGUUUGGUAAGUCUCUUGUGAAAACUCCGGGCUCAACUCGGAGCCUGCAGGAGAAACUGCCGGGCUUGAGUGUGGGAGAGGUGAGUGGAAUUCCUG
RNAcentral lists this ribosomal RNA (611 nucleotides) under uncultured bacterium. Its description in RNAcentral is "bacterial SSU rRNA". It matches the Rfam family "Bacterial small subunit ribosomal RNA", at positions 29 to 672 of the family's 1533-position model. The record is from RNAcentral.